This 290-nucleotide ribosomal RNA is filed under the name Mucor racemosus. RNAcentral's name for it is "partial 18S ribosomal RNA". The stretch from base 240 to 290 matches the Rfam family "5.8S ribosomal RNA", at positions 1 to 51 of the family's 154-position model. Lineage: Eukaryota; Fungi; Mucoromycota; Mucoromycetes; Mucorales; Mucoraceae. The record is from RNAcentral.
UCCGUAGGUGAACCUGCGGAAGGAUCAUUAAAUAAUCAAUAAUCUUGGCUUGUCCAUUAUUAUCUAUUUACUGUGAACUGUAUUAUUAUUUGACGUUUGAGGGAUGUUCCAAUGUUAUAAGGAUAGACAUUGGAGAUGUUAACCGAGUCAUAAUCAGGUUUAGGCCUGGUAUCCUAUUAUUAUUUACCAAAUGAAUUCAGAAUUAAUAUUGUAACAUAGACCUAAAAAAUCUAUAAAACAACUUUUAACAACGGAUCUCUUGGUUCUCGCAUCGAUGAAGAACGCAGCAA